This 306-nucleotide long non-coding RNA is filed under the name Salmo salar (Atlantic salmon). Its description in RNAcentral is "lncRNA (ENSSSAG00000122228.1)". Lineage: Eukaryota; Metazoa; Chordata; Actinopteri; Salmoniformes; Salmonidae. The record is from RNAcentral.
GUUGUACUCCAGGCUAGUAGGUGGCGGUAAUGCAACAAAUUGGAUGCCAACCGCCGUUAAACCGCAGAAGAAGAAGCACAUUGUUGGGAACGUCAUUAGACGGAAAAGGAAGAACGUCAUUAUACGGAAGAGGAAGGAAAGUGUGUUUGAAACUAAAAUCGCUAGUAACAACCAGCAUCAAACGUAACAUUGCUUGUCAAAUGGAUAUCAUUUCUCGUUAUGGUUUGUAGUUAUGCUGGCUUUGCUUCUGCUGUCUUUCUACAACAUCCGAAGAUCCUCAGAAAGUUAUACGGCUGCACCAUCGAG